This 322-nucleotide ribosomal RNA is filed under the name uncultured Allantion. RNAcentral describes it as "SSU rRNA". The stretch from base 112 to 322 matches the Rfam family "Eukaryotic small subunit ribosomal RNA", at positions 744 to 955 of the family's 1831-position model. Lineage: Eukaryota; Cercozoa; Glissomonadida. The record is from RNAcentral.
GAUUUCUGGACUGAAGCAUUUAGCCGGCCGCGGUUUCGCGUGUUAGUGCUGGAUGCUCUGUCCAUCCUUCCAAUCGCUAUUGGCUAUUCUUCAUUGAAUGGUCAGUAGUAUUGGAUCUUUUACUUUGAAAAAAUUAGAGUGUUUCAAGCAGGCUUUAUGCUAUGAAUACAUUAGCAUGGAAUAAUAAUUUAGGACUUCGGUUCUAUUUUGUUGGUUUCUAGGACUGAAGUAAUGAUUGAUAGGGAUAGUUGGGGGUGCUAGUAUUCAGCGGCCAGAGGUGAAAUUCUCGGAUUCGCUGAAGACUAACUUAUGCGAAAGCAUU